This 329-nucleotide unclassified non-coding RNA is filed under the name soil metagenome. Its description in RNAcentral is "partial contains 5.8S ribosomal RNA, internal transcribed spacer 2, and large subunit ribosomal RNA". The stretch from base 1 to 120 matches the Rfam family "5.8S ribosomal RNA", at positions 35 to 154 of the family's 154-position model. The record is from RNAcentral.
GAUGAAGAACGUAGCGAAAUGCGAUAAGUAAUGUGAAUUGCAGAAUUCAGUGAAUCAUCGAAUCUUUGAACGCACAUUGCGCCCCUUGGUAUUCCGAGGGGCAUGCCUGUUCGAGCGUCAUUAUAACCCCUCAAGCUUAGCUUGGUGUUGGGGCCUGCUGUAAUAGAGCAGCCCUUAAAAUCAGUGGCGGUGCCAUUAGGCUCUAAGCGUAGUAAUUCUUCUCGCUAUAGGGUUCUGGUGGAUGCUUGCCAUUAACCUCUAAUUUUCUAUGGUUGACCUCGGAUCAGGUAGGGAUACCCGCUGAACUUAAGCAUAUCAAUAAGCGGGGG